GCCUCCGUAGAUUAGUUGGCUAAAUCGUCAGUCUCAUAAGCUGAAGAUCGAGGGUUCAAGUCCCUCUGGAGGCA
RNAcentral lists this transfer RNA (74 nucleotides) under Candidatus Woesearchaeota archaeon. RNAcentral's name for it is "tRNA-Met". It matches the Rfam family "tRNA". From Rfam's summary of the family: Transfer RNA (tRNA) molecules are approximately 80 nucleotides in length. Their secondary structure includes four short double-helical elements and three loops (D, anti-codon, and T loops). Further hydrogen bonds mediate the characteristic L-shaped molecular structure. tRNAs have two regions of fundamental functional importance: the anti-codon, which is responsible for specific mRNA codon recognition, and the 3' end, to which the tRNAs corresponding amino acid is attached (by aminoacyl-tRNA synthetases). tRNAs cope with the degeneracy of the genetic code in two manners: having more than one tRNA (with a specific anti-codon) for a particular amino acid; and 'wobble' base-pairing, i.e. permitting non-standard base-pairing at the 3rd anti-codon position. Lineage: Archaea; Nanobdellati; Candidatus Woesearchaeota. The record is from RNAcentral.